This 793-nucleotide ribosomal RNA is filed under the name uncultured bacterium. Its description in RNAcentral is "bacterial SSU rRNA". It matches the Rfam family "Bacterial small subunit ribosomal RNA", at positions 79 to 850 of the family's 1533-position model. The record is from RNAcentral.
GAAACUAGAUACAAGCGAGCGGCGGACGGGUGAGUAACACGUGGGUAACCUGCCCAAGAGACUGGGAUAACACCUGGAAACAGAUGCUAAUACCGGAUAACAACACUAGACGCAUGUCUAGAGUUUGAAAGAUGGUUCUGCUAUCACUCUUGGAUGGACCUGCGGUGCAUUAGCUAGUUGGUAAGGUAACGGCUUACCAAGGCAAUGAUGCAUAGCCGAGUUGAGAGACUGAUCGGCCACAUUGGGACUGAGACACGGCCCAAACUCCUACGGGAGGCAGCAGUAGGGAAUCUUCCACAAUGGACGAAAGUCUGAUGGAGCAACGCCGCGUGAGUGAAGAAGGGUUUCGGCUCGUAAAGCUCUGUUGGUAGUGAAGAAAGAUAGAGGUAGUAACUGGCCUUUAUUUGACGGUAAUUACUUAGAAAGUCACGGCUAACUACGUGCCAGCAGCCGCGGUAAUACGUAGGUGGCAAGCGUUGUCCGGAUUUAUUGGGCGUAAAGCGAGUGCAGGCGGUUCAAUAAGUCUGAUGUGAAAGCCUUCGGCUCAACCGGAGAAUUGCAUCAGAAACUGUUGAACUUGAGUGCAGAAGAGGAGAGUGGAACUCCAUGUGUAGCGGUGGAAUGCGUAGAUAUAUGGAAGAACACCAGUGGCGAAGGCGGCUCUCUGGUCUGCAACUGACGCUGAGGCUCGAAAGCAUGGGUAGCGAACAGGAUUAGAUACCCCUGGUAAGUCCCAUGCCGUAAAACGAUGAGUGCUAAGUGUUUGGGGAGGUUUCCGCCUCUCAGUGCUGCA